Molecule: ribosomal RNA, 494 nt
Filed under: uncultured bacterium
Lineage: Bacteria
Description: partial 16S ribosomal RNA
Rfam family: Bacterial small subunit ribosomal RNA
Source: RNAcentral
GACGAACGCUGGCGGCGUGCUUAACACAUGCAAGUCGAACGGAAAGGCCUGCUUUCCCUUGUGGAUUGCGGGUACUCGAGUGGCGAACGGGUGAGUAACACGUGAGUGAUCUGCCCCCAACUUGGGUAUAAGCCUGGGAAACUGGGUCUAAUUCCCGAUAGGACUGCAGGGUGGUGCCUGUGGUGGAAAACGAUUUUCUAGUGGUUGGGGAUGAGCUCGCGGCCUAUCAGCUUGUUGGUGGGGUAAUGGCCUACCAAGGCGGCGACGGGCAGCCGGCCUGGGGGGGUGGACGGCCACAUUGGGACUGAGAUACGGCCCAGAAUCCUACGGGAGGCAGCAGUGGGGAAUAUUGCACAAUGGGCGGAAGCCUGAUGCAGCGACGCCGCGUGGGGGAUGACGGCCUUCGGGUUGUAAACUCCUUUCGACCGCGAGGAAGCCACCUGGUUGGAAGGGUGGUGACGGUAGUGGUAGAAGAAGCACCGGCUAACUACGUG